RNAcentral lists this ribosomal RNA (252 nucleotides) under uncultured bacterium. RNAcentral describes it as "partial 16S ribosomal RNA". It matches the Rfam family "Bacterial small subunit ribosomal RNA", at positions 524 to 776 of the family's 1533-position model. The record is from RNAcentral.
UACGGAGGGUGCAAACGUUGCUCGGAAUCAUUGGGCGUAAAGCGCACGUAGGCGGCUCGUUAAGUCGGGUGUGAAAGCCCUCGGCUCAACCGAGGAAGUGCAUUCGAAACUGGCGAGCUUGAAUAUGGAAGAGGGUCGCGGAAUUCCCGGUGUAGAGGUGAAAUUCGUAGAUAUCGGGAGGAACACCAGUGGCGAAGGCGGCGACCUGGGCCAAUAUUGACGCUGAGGUGCGAAAGCGUGGGAGCAAACAGG